RNAcentral lists this ribosomal RNA (1337 nucleotides) under metagenome. RNAcentral's name for it is "bacterial LSU rRNA". It matches the Rfam family "Bacterial large subunit ribosomal RNA", at positions 1564 to 2910 of the family's 2925-position model. The record is from RNAcentral.
UGAGUACGAGCUGCUACGGCAGCGAAGUGGGUGACGUCAAGCUUCCAAGAAAAGCCCUACACCCGUUAAGGCAUGAUGGCCUGUACCCGAAACCGACACAGGUGGGGUGGUAGAGAAUACCGAGGGGCGCGAGGUAACUCUCUCUAAGGAACUCGGCAAAAUGGCCCCGUAACUUCGGGAGAAGGGGUGCCACCGCAAGGUGGUCGCAGUGAAGAGGCCCAGGCGACUGUUUACCAAAAACACAGGUCUCCGCUAAGUCGCAAGACGAUGUAUGGGGGCUGACGCCUGCCCAGUGCCGGAAGGUUAAGGAAGCUGGUCAGCGCAAGCGAAGCUGGCGACUGAAGCCCCGGUGAACGGCGGCCGUAACUAUAACGGUCCUAAGGUAGCGAAAUUCCUUGUCGGGUAAGUUCCGACCCGCACGAAAGGCGUAACGAUCUGGGCGCUGUCUCGGAGAGAGGCUCGGCGAAAUAGAAUUGUCUGUGAAGAUGCGGACUACGUGCACCCGGACAGAAAGACCCUAUGAAGCUUUACUGUAGCUUGGUAUUGUGCCCGGGCUCUGAAUGCGCAGGAUAGGUGGGAGGCUUUGAUCCAUUGCUUGUGGGUGAUGGUGAGCCAACGGUGAGAUACCACUCUUUCAGAGCUAGGGUUCUAACGGUCACCCGUUAUCCGGGGACCGGACAGUAUCAGGUGGGCAGUUUGACUGGUCGGUCGCCUCCUAAAAGGUAACGGAGGCGCGCAAAGGUUCCCUCAGGCUGGUUGGAAAUCAGCCGAUGAGUGUAAAGGCAGAAGGGAGCUUGACUGUGAGACCUACAAGUCGAACAGGGACGAAAGUCGGCCUUAGUGAUCCGACGGUUCUGAGUGGAAGGGCCGUCGCUCAACGGAUAAAAGUUACUCUAAGGAUAACAGGCUGAUCUCCCCCAAGAGUUCACAUCGACGGGGAGGUUUGGCACCUCGAUGUCGGCUCAUCGCAACCUGGGGCUGAAGUCGGUCCCAAGGGUUGGGCUGUUCGCCCAUUAAAGCGGUACGCGAGCUGGGUUCAGAACGUCGUGAGACAGUUCGGUCCAUAUCCGGUGCAUGCGCAGGAAUAUUGAGAGGAUUUCUCCCUAGUACGAGAGGACCGGGAGGAACGCACCUCUGGUGUACCAGUUAUCGUGCCAACGGUAAACGCUGGGUAGCCAUGUGCGGAGUGGAUAACCGCUGAAAGCAUCUAAGUGGGAAGCCCACCUCAAGAUGAGUAUUCCCAUGGCGUUAGCCAGUAAGGUCACGGGCAGAACACCCGUUGAUAGGCUCUACGUGGAAGCCGGGUAACCGGUGAAGCGGAGGAGUACUAAUAGACC